Molecule: long non-coding RNA, 438 nt
Filed under: Androctonus crassicauda
Lineage: Eukaryota; Metazoa; Arthropoda; Arachnida; Scorpiones; Buthidae
Source: RNAcentral
CUUCGGCGGUUUUCUAAACUCGUGAGUCACUCAGCUACUAGAGGGCACUGUUUACAGAUAACAAGAUGGCGUCCCGCGGAUCAGUUUGUGCUGCAUCAUUUUGUAGUAAUUUCCGAAGAAAAAUUCCAAAUGUUUCAUUUUUUCGAUUUCCAAGAUAUCCCAAAAGAUGUUCUGCUUGUGUUAGAUUCGUCCAACGAAAGGACUUAGAAGAAAAAUCCCCAACAGACAGUUGUAUGAAAAAAACAAAUUCAGCCAACCAACAGGAAACAGUAAAGCUAAAAUUCUUAGACAUAUGUAGAUAAAUUUUUAUACUAUUAUUCAGUGAAGUUAAUUCAAUAUUGGGUGACUUCAAGGAAAAAAUUAUAAGACAUUAUUUAUAUUUGUUUACAGUUACUUAUAUUGUGUUGGCAAAUUAUUACAUUUUAAAGGAAGUUAUUU